RNAcentral lists this ribosomal RNA (271 nucleotides) under uncultured archaeon. Its description in RNAcentral is "partial 16S ribosomal RNA". It matches the Rfam family "Archaeal small subunit ribosomal RNA", at positions 477 to 747 of the family's 1478-position model. The record is from RNAcentral.
CAGCGCCACGAGUGGUAACCACGUUUAUUGGGCCUAAAGCGUCCGUAGCCGGUUUGAUAAAUCUUUUGUGAAAUUGUACAGCUUAACUGUACAGCGUGCAAGAGACACUGUCAAACUUGAGACCGGGAGGAGUCAGAAGUAUUCCAGAGGGAGCGGUAAAAUGUUAUAAUCUCUGGAGGACUACCUGUGGCGAAGGCGUCUGACCAGAACGGAUCUGACGGUGAGGGACGAAAGCCAGGGGAGCGAACCGGAUUAGAGACCCCAGUAGUCC